UAUUAGCCCCGAUAGAAAUAAAAAUCCUAGGUUUACCUAGAGAUUAUAAUGUAUAGCGGGAAAAUGG
Molecule: small RNA, 67 nt
Filed under: Flavobacterium sp. 9AF
Lineage: Bacteria; Pseudomonadati; Bacteroidota; Flavobacteriia; Flavobacteriales; Flavobacteriaceae
Description: Flavo-1 RNA
Rfam family: Flavo-1 RNA
Source: Rfam by way of RNAcentral